AAUUUUUUUAGUGAUUCAUAUGGCAUCAGGUAUAAAGUUUAUACGUCUCGCGAAUCUUUGAUGAGGGAAAGGCACGGUUAAGCAUUGAUGAGCUAGCAAAAUUUUCCUUUUUCCUGUGAGAAGAGACGGCUUGAAAAACUCAUAGGCGUAAUCAUGUAGCAACAUUUGAUGAUUAGUAUCAAAUGGUGGCGACAAUAAUUUGGCACUGAUGGAAUCAAAGGUCCCCGAUGAGCCAAUUUUCCCAAAUCCUUAUCAUCCCGCCUCGGUAUCGAAUCCCAAAUAGGAUCUGGACCAGUAUCCACUUUUGUUGGAUUCGAGGAUCGGUACCAACCUGUGCCGGUACCGAGAAAUACCGGGCAAAUCUCGAUGGCCCCGUUUUGUCCUGAUUUUUCUAGUACUUACAUAGCAACGAAUACAAUUAUUCAAGAGGAAAACCAAUAACUUCAGAGAGAAACCGGGGGAACUCUAGCAGAAGGCAGUAUGUGAACGGACAAACUAAACACGGAAAUGUAUUCUAAUAUGGACGUUUCUAUUCAGGGAAGGGCUAGACUGAGUCAUUUCUUAAGAAAGAUUGCUAAAGGUCCUGAGACUACCACUUUGAUUUAGAACCUGCUUUUGUUAUUUUUAUUCCAAUAGCUAAAGCAUUUCAUAUCAUGGAAGAACAUUUGACGAACAUAUAUCAUGUAUUCAAAAGUAGGCAAAGAGAAUACCUUU
Long non-coding RNA from Erigeron canadensis, 714 nucleotides. RefSeq lists it as uncharacterized. Lineage: Eukaryota; Viridiplantae; Streptophyta; Magnoliopsida; Asterales; Asteraceae. The record is from RefSeq and is a predicted model, not a curated record. The transcript is spliced from 3 exons.